CCCUUAGAUGUUCUGGGCCGCACGCGCGCUACACUGAUGCAUUCAACGAGCCUAUCCUUGACCGACAGGUCCGGGUAAUCUUUGAAUCUGCAUCGUGACGGGGAUAGAUUAUUGCAAUUAUUAAUCUUCAACGAGGAAUGCCUAGUAGGCGCAAGUCAUCAGCUUGCGUCGAUUACGUCCCAGCCCUUUGUACACACCGCCCGUCGCUCCUACCGAUUGGGUGUGCUGGUGAAAUGUUCGGAUCGGCCGUUUGUCGCGGUUUCCGCGUCAUGUGGCUGAGAAGUUCAUUAAACCCUCCCACCUAGAGGAAGGAGAAGUCGUAACA
This 325-nucleotide ribosomal RNA is filed under the name uncultured eukaryote. Its description in RNAcentral is "partial 18S ribosomal RNA". It matches the Rfam family "Eukaryotic small subunit ribosomal RNA", at positions 1470 to 1796 of the family's 1831-position model. The record is from RNAcentral.